Ataeniobius toweri is the source of this 95-nucleotide non-coding RNA. The record is from the annotation of a GenBank genome assembly. Lineage: Eukaryota; Metazoa; Chordata; Actinopteri; Cyprinodontiformes; Goodeidae.
GCUUGGGCACUAUGUGGCUCAGUUGGUAGAGCACCAUGUGCAGAGGCUAUAAUCCUCGAUGUCGUUGUCCGGUGUUUGAUCCCCAGUUUCGGGCU